UGUCGUUCCCUAAAGAAAAUAACAAUAGGUUAGGUUCGUAUAGUGUGAUCUAUGGAGUGAUCCACGAUAAUCUUGAGAGACCACGGUAAAUAUAAUAAAGUUUAAAGAUUAUGACAUGAGAGGCAGUUUUGGUUUAUGGAAAAACGGAACAAGAACUUGAAAGUGUCGUCUAAACAAAUUUUGUAGGAAAUGAACCUAAAAUACCAAGAGCCUGAUAAAAAGCGAGGGCCCGUUGACAUCGUCGCACUUAAAAAGCAACCCUCUUCUGAAGACCUUUCAUUUCUAGCUCAUUGACCAAUAUUCCAACUCAAAGUGUUUCUACAAUUCAAGAUCUUGAUAGGAAUCAGGCUGGUGUUCACCACAAUAGUUCUUUUUAAAAAAUUGACACCAGGAACUGUGCUUACAAUCCUGAAAAAAUGGAAGAACGUCUAACAGCUAAGCUCUCACACUUCCAGGGAAAAAGCUGGAUUUAUCUGAUAAGAAAACAAAAACCAAACUAAACGGAAGUUAGAUGAAAUGAAGAAGAAAUUAAAAAGGAAAACUAAGAAGAAGAGGUCCUGAAUUGCCAAACUUGCACGAGCCACCAAGGCAACAUCAGUGUUAUCAGCCUCUGGUCUUUCAGAGUUUGUCGAAACAGAAAUUCCUGAACCAAGACUAGCAAGUACACUGCCAACACCAAUUUUUAACAGUGAAGGCUGCCUAGUUUCCAGCAAAUUUGAUUUUGGAGAACUAUCUAAUUCCUCACCCAUUCUGAAAAAACCCACUUUAGAUCCAGAAGUGGCAACGCUAAAAAAAAAAACUCAAAGCGAAAAUGAAAACUUGGUAGGCCAAGCUGAAGCUGAGAAUACAGGAAGCAUUGAAGAGAAACAGGCAUGAAAUGGUGCUCUGCAAAUAGCUGAAGGUUUUCAGGUAAAAGACUAUGUGGAAUUGCUUGCCAAAUCAAUUAAUGAACGAGAUCAAAUCAAAUCAGAGAGUAACAAAAAUUGCGCUGAACGAAUCGAAGAAAAGGAAAAGAGAAAGGAAUAACAACAGAAAAGGAGAAAAGCCAACAUUAAGAAAAAGAAAACUGAAAAGAAAGACCAUAAAGUGAAUAAACUAAAGAAAAAAGGCAAAUUUAUCGCAUGAAAGGCUGAUACUGACUGAUGGAUCAGCUAAACUUGUAUUCUUUCAUAUGCAGCUAUGUCGUGAUAGUUUUUUUGAAAUAAUAAAAAAAAAGUCCGUCAUGGUAGAAAA
Long non-coding RNA from Daphnia carinata, 1233 nucleotides. RefSeq lists it as uncharacterized. The transcript has 3 exons. The record is from RefSeq and is a predicted model, not a curated record. NCBI's taxonomy places the organism in Eukaryota, Metazoa, Arthropoda, Branchiopoda, Diplostraca, Daphniidae.